GGUGGCUCAGUGGUAGAGUGCUUGCCUUGCAUGCAUGAGACCUGGGUUCGAUUCCUCAGCACCA
Molecule: non-coding RNA, 64 nt
Organism: Dipodomys ordii (Ord's kangaroo rat)
Lineage: Eukaryota; Metazoa; Chordata; Mammalia; Rodentia; Heteromyidae
Source: Rfam